Molecule: ribosomal RNA, 301 nt
Filed under: uncultured bacterium
Lineage: Bacteria
Description: partial 16S ribosomal RNA
Rfam family: Bacterial small subunit ribosomal RNA
Source: RNAcentral
CAGUCGCCACGGUAAUACGAAGGGUGCAAGCGUUAAUCGGAAUUACUGGGCGUAAAGCGUGCGUAGGCGGCUUGGUAAGUUAGAGGUGAAAGCCCGGAGCUCAACUCCGGAAUUGCCUUUAAGACUGCCGAGCUAGUAGGUGAGAGAGGUAAGUGGAAUUCCGAGUGUAGAGGUGAAAUUCGUAGAUAUUCGGAAGAACACCAGUGGCGAAGGCGGCUUACUGGCUCAUUCUAGACGCUGAGGUGCGAAAGCGUGGGGAGCAAACAGGAUUAGAUACCCCCGUAGUCCCUGUCUCUUAUAC